RNAcentral lists this ribosomal RNA (675 nucleotides) under Triticum aestivum (bread wheat). RNAcentral's name for it is "partial small subunit ribosomal RNA". The record is from RNAcentral. Lineage: Eukaryota; Viridiplantae; Streptophyta; Magnoliopsida; Poales; Poaceae.
AUGGCAUCUUCACUCAGCUUCAUCCUUGCUCUUCUCCUCGCAAUCGCUGCCACCGACGCUUUCACUGUCCACCUACUCAACAAGUGCCCCUACACGGUGUGGCCAGGCACCUACCCGGUCCGCAGCGGGAGCAGGCUCGACCCGGGUCAACUGGCCGCCAUUGAAGUCUCCCCGGGCAUGGUGUCUGGAUGGAUUUGGGGGCGCACCGGCUGCAACUUCGAUGCCAGCGGUCGCGGGUCGUGCACCACGGGCGACUGCGGUGGCAUGCUGUCCUGUGCCGCCGGUUUUAAGCCACCCGCGACACUCGCCGAGUACACGCUGGGUAAGGGCGGCAGCCCUGACUUCUAUGACAUCUCAAUCGCCGACGGAUUCAACGUCCCCAUGAGCUUUGGGCCUGUCGGCAGCAGCUGUCAUGUGGUAAGCUGUGCCGCGGACAUCAACGCAAAGUGCCCGUCGGAGCUGAAGGUGGACGGAGGCUGUGUGAGUGCGUGCAUCAAGUUCGGCACCCCCCAGUACUGCUGCACGCCGCCGCUUAUGCCGUCGACCUGUGGGCCGACGGACUACUCGCGCUUCUUCAAGGGGCACUGUCCAGACGCCUACAGCUACGCCUACGAGAAGAACAGCACCUUCACCUGCACCGUCCGAUCAGACUACCAAGUCACCUUCUGCCCAUAG